Alexandromys fortis (reed vole) is the source of this 4671-nucleotide long non-coding RNA. RefSeq lists it as uncharacterized. The transcript is spliced from 3 exons. The record is from RefSeq and is a predicted model, not a curated record. NCBI's taxonomy places the organism in Eukaryota, Metazoa, Chordata, Mammalia, Rodentia, Cricetidae.
UGGAGGCGCUGGGAUGGAACUUUCAGGUUUGGUGGACUGGCGCCGACGCCCGCGGCCUGACAGCUGCGGCGCUGGGCUGGGCUGCUCCCGGAAGGGCGCCGCGGAUCUCCGCGGUCUCCCCGAGGGCCGCUGCCUCCCUCAUAGCCUCUUUGCUGCGGCCUUCUGCCGCGCCCAGCCUGCACCCCUACUUUGUGCCAGGUCUACGGUCGACCCAGAUGGCACUAUUAGGGCUAGGAACUGUUCCAAGUGUUCCCCGUGGUUUAGCUCAUUAAAGUUCCUCAAUCUUUCCAUAAUCAUUCCUGUUUUACGUGAGGAAACUGAGGUGCGCGGAACAGUUAAGUAAUGAUACAAAGUGUUUCCGAGAUGAUUACGUGACAGCAGCCUCAAGGAGCUAUCAAUUUUAUUAUGGGAGAUGAGCGAACCCAAUUUUGCUAGGUGAUAUUGGAGCAGGUGGUAGCAGUGUGGAGAGCAGCUGAGCUCCGGCGGUGAGGAGCCUUUAGAGGAGAUGGAUGCCUUCAGAGCUGUGUACUUUUCCACUGAUCAGCUGGUGACUACCCAGGGGAGGUGUAUUUCCAUUUUGAGGAAGAAAUGCUUUCCUGCACAAAGAACCAGGAAUGAAGGAACCCAGGUCAAAGUCUUCCUACAGCCUGAGGGGAAAGCCCAGCUCUGAUCCAGCUGUGGGCAAGCCCUUCCCCUUGGCUGGUACCUCAGUGCCCACACAUACAAAAGUGACAUGAACAUAUGGUGUGGCAAGCAUUAAGUGAUCAUAAUGCUUGCAAAAAUAUUUCACAUAGUAUGGCCAGUCAUGUUAAUUGGUGAGUUUUGUCAAAGGGGUAUUUACUGCACUAUUCUUGCAACCUUCUUGUUGGCUUGAAUUUUUCCAAAAGUGAAGGGGAAUGAGGAAAGGGAGACCGGCAGCUCUUGUCUGCACAGAAUACUCAGAAAGCGAUGCCAAUGGCGGCCUCUGGGGAGAAGAACUGGGUUAUUGGGAAGUGACCUACUUUUCAUUUUCAUUAUAAAACCUUUUUUCCUCCUUUUGGGUUUUUGUUUCAUGUGCAUGUACAACUUGUUUAAAAAGAAAGACUUAGACCAGCAAGAUGGCACCGUGUGUAAAGGCUUUUGGUGCCAAGCCUGAUGAAUUGAGAUCGAUCCCCUGAAGCCGCACAGGGGAAGUGGAGAACAAACUCCUGCAAGCUGUUCUCCGACCUCCAUACAGGUGCCGCAGUGUGCCCCACUCGCGUGUACACACACACGCACAAAGUAAACUUAAAAUGUAGUUACAAUUUUUCGAAAUAUCUUGGGGCCAGUCAAGGCUACCCUAUUAAGAAAAUGCUGAGCCAGGCGGUGGUCGUGCAUGCCUUUAUUCUCAGCACUCGGGAGGCAGAGGUGGGUGGAUCUUUGUGAGUUUGGGGCCAGCUUGGUCUACAGAGUGAGUUCUAAGACAGCCAGGACUAUACGGAGAAACCCUCUGUCUUGAAAAACAAAACCAACACAACGAGAGAGAGAGAGAGAGAGAGAGAGAGAGAGAGAGAGAGAGAGAGAGAGAGAGAGAGAGAAGCAAAAUAGCCUAUCUUCUGAGUCUCUUCUGCCAGGCCUGCCGGGCACUACUGAAGUCACAGCUGUGGGUGUGAAGAAGAGUGAUUCGGGGAUCCUGAGGCUAGUAGCCUGACAAGAGCUGUACUUCAAGCAAAUGGAGACUCAUGGAAACAAGAGGCAAACAGACACUUCCACUGGGAAGUUGUGGGGCCCUGCCUGGGAAACAACUCCUGACUCCAUCGUAGCCACAGGGUUUAGGCUCCCGGAAAAGGCAGUGUCUUGGACAGUAAGACUCGAUCUGGAGGAGGAGGAAAGACAUUGCAGACCACUGCAGCAGGGUGACGGGCUCAGGACCCCCAGACCAGCCUGCGGAAACAAACAGAAGCCUGGCUGUCACUAGGGUGUUACAGAUUCAAACUGUCCACGUGGAGGAGACAUUGGGAGGAUGAGUGAGUGGCACAAACUCCCUGAGAAGGCAGGUAUGCUGCUGCUGGUGGGUAGGUACUAUUACUUCAUGACUAUCUGAAAGAAGAGGCCCACUGGGUUCAGGGCACACUAGGUCCUUGCCUGUGGUGCCAAUUAAGUCAGUACUUUGCAAGUGAGAGUUCAAGUCUUCAGGCUGACACCACCGUCACCUGGACAGUGAAGAGUGCCAAACUGGGUGGUACCCAGGGCCUUAAACAUGCUGAGUAAGUGCCCUGCCAUGAACCAUGUCCCAGUGCAAUUGUGGAUCUUUGGGCUAGGCACUUAUGUAGGGGCCCUUGGUCUGGGAUAUGAGUGGCAAGCAGAAAUUUAGAAAUGGAAUCCAUCAGGAAAUGAUUAUGAAAGACCAGACAGGACAGAAAACGAGGCCAGAACUAGAACAGUUAUCAGUCGGAGAUGCAAGGAAUGAAAUUGGACAACACUGAAGUGGAUUAAAAUUCCAGUAGCCUCAGCAUCCCUAGGGCAGAGCGGGGGCAGGCUUUACUACUGAAUUUCCCCACCUAAUUCAGUGCCUAGUACCCAGCCAACUCCUAGCCACAACUGAAUAGGUGAGAACAUAUUAUUUCAUCAUACCAAACUAUUUCCCUUAUCCGAUUAUAAAAUCCACCCAGCCAGAUUUGAGUCUCAUAGCUUUGGGUUCCCUUUUUGGAGGCCUAGAAUACAAACAUUCAUUAGGCUAUAGACUUAGAAUUGAUUCAUUGAGGGUUUAGCUCAGUGGCUGAGCACUUACAUAGCACGCAUAGUAUUGUAGAUAAGUAAUGUGGUACACUUGGGAGACGGAAACAGGAUUGAUGUGAGUUCGAGGUCAACCUGGGGCUUCUUAGAGAGUGCCAGACUAUUCAGGGCUAUAAAACAAAACCCUCUCUCAAAACAAGGUGAUUCAGGCCAGGUGUAGUAGUGCACACCUUUAAUCCCAGUGCUGGAGAGACAGAGGCAGGCUGAUCUCUGUGAGCUCAAGGCCAGCCUGGUCUACAGGGCGAGUACCAGGACAGCCAGGGCUACUUAGUGAAAUCCCGUCUCAAGAACCAAACCAAACAAAAAAGACAACUCACUACAUUGCUUUCAGUGUGAUGUAUACUAUAUACCCCUAACAAGCGAGCAGGCAGACAAGCAAGAAAAGGCCUCUCAGGUGGGACCCAAGGCAGUUGAGUCUUGCGUGUGGUUCUGACUAUCACCCUUGAAAGCCUCCAGGGAAGUAGCAGAAUUUACACAAAUUUACACAUGCUCACAUGAAGGUAACCACUAUUUUGUUCUCCACCAUCUUGCCUGAUCUUGAACUUGGUAUGAGUGAGGGUCUGCUCAGUGCACCUGGCUUUUCUCUCUUAACAUUAUAUCUGUGACAUUCAUAUGUCCACAUGGAGACUGAGUAUCUUAUGAUCAAAUGCCUAACAAGAGGCAACUUAAGAGAGGAACGGGAUUUUUUUUUUUCCGAGACAGGGUUUCUCUGUGGCUUUGGAGCCUGUCCUGGAACUAGCUCUGUAGACCAGGCUGGUCUCGAACUCACAGAGAUCCACCUGCCUCUGCCUCCCGAGUGCUGGGAUUAAAGGCGUGCGCCACCAUCACCCGGCAGGAACGGGAUUUUUGUUGUUGUUGUUUGGUUUGGUUUUUAAUUCACAGUAUGUGGCUACAAUCUCUCAUGGCAGGUAUGACAUGGCCAAAGUCACUGCUGAUGACCUUAGAAGCAGGUGUGUGAGGCUGCCAUGUUCACUUCUCCAUAGAAAGGAAGAUUAGGGAAUGCCAGACCUCUUCUUUUCCCCGUUUUAUUCAGUUCAGGAUCCAGCACAUAGGUUGAUGGUGCCUACCCUCGGGUGACCAAUCCUGUGUAACCUGCAUGGCUUUGGAGUGCCCAGACUACGGCGAUGGAUGAUGACCAGGAGACUGAAUAAAGGACAGAGUCAAAGACACAUGUACAGAACUCUAGGCUCAGAUCUCAGAAACCCCCAAAGUGGCCUUGGAAGGAAGAAGACAAAGUUCUCUGGAGAUGAGCCAGCCUGUGGCACUCUGAAGUCCAAAGUCAGUCGACUAUGGCCCAGGCCUACCUAGUCUUCAGGUGGGAGGGCUGGCCUGGUGUGAAUCCCCAGGGGAGGCUCUAUAAAUAGUGGCUACUUCUUUGGAUCGUGAGGACUAGUCAUGCAUGAAGGCAUGUGCCUGUAAUCCCAGCAUGAAGGAAGUAGAAGCAGAAGGGUCAGAAGUUGAAGGUUAUCCUCUCAGGUAUAUGUCUGUGAAGAACAAUCUUUUCUCUGAGAAGGCUAGCUCAGCAAGGGCCAGGAUCCUACAAACCUCCCCAUCCUGUGAGCCUCUGUGUACACGCCUGUUUGCCCAAGCCCUGGAUGCCAGACAUUCCUGAGAUUUGACUCCAUCACACCCUCCCCUUCACGCCAAUUAUGAAUCAUAUCGAAUCUUGAAGUCAAGCUCCUACCAGUGGAAUUAGACACAGUCACCACCUGCUGUAGGAUAAAAAAAAAAAAAAAAAAAAAAACGGGGUGAACUUCCUGCCCCAGUGUGGCUGUUCACCUGGUUUGGGUCAUUGUACACCAGCGUGCAAAAAGUAAAUUGCCUCAGUGAGUUCCUCUGCCUAUGUUUGUGUGUCUCUUCUUGACACUGGGAAUAUUCUGUUCUAACACAGAAUUCAAAGCCUGCGUGGGCUACCUG